GAAAUGCCCCAACAUUGCCCAUGUCAAAGAGAAGAAAUAAGAAGACUGACAAAGAAAAGCAGCAUAAAGACAAAGAACUGGACUGAGCCAGAGAGAAAACAGAGGUGGAGGGAGCUGCUGGAUUUGUAAGGCCACAAGAGCGACACAGAGUUAGCGGCUUUUCUGCUGGACAAGUCUACUGGGGAUGCAGCAGCAGCGGCAUUUAGAGGGGCAGACAGAACAUCAGCAAGGUGUUCUCCCUCCUGAACAGGUAACUCACAUUCAUUCAUCAGGAGCGACAGACACUUCAACAUGGGGGAGCCAGGGGUCCAAACCAAGUGACCUUCCGAUUACCGGACGUCCUGCUCUACCUCCUUGAGCUGCAGCUGCACAGUGAAAAAGGAAUGGAGCUUUACUUUCCUGUCUGACUCACAGCAGCGCCGCUGCGUAGCCGAGGGAGAGGAAGGAGGAGAAGAAAAAAGAAAAAGGGGGGGGGCUCGUCUCAUCGGAGCUUGACAUGAACUGCCCUCCUGGAAAAAGGCUCUGAUGUGACUGACACCUCUCUCCUCUUUGUCUUCGCCACUCCAAUUAGCUCAGUGACAGGUGCAUGUGGAGAGACGAGACAAUCAAUUACCGUCCCCUCUCUUCAUCCUUCUCUCCCUGUGUCUUUAUCACACUCCAUCCCUUCGCUUGCUUUCUUUCUGCUCACUCUUAAUUCAUUCUUUUUUUAACCACUCUCUCCAACCCCCCCCCCCACCCACCAUUCAUUCAUACCUUGUCUGGCUUGUCAUUGUCUCCUCAUACAGUCUCCUCUCCUCUCCUCUCCCUCCUUAUCCCUCUCCUCUCUCUGUUUCACUGCAGCAUGCCAGGGUGACGGAGGGAGAGGAAAGAGGGAACAUGUCAUUCAAGACUGUGAGGCAUCCUCCCGCUUUAAUCUCAGACACACCACGCAAAAACUGCUCUGGGGCAUAACCACUACUGACAGACAAAGUCUCAGCUAAAAGGCUUCGCAGUCCUCUGUUAGGUCCUUCUGACCACAGCUUUGUCUCAUUUAAGAGGUGAAUCAGAUGUUAUUCUUCAUCAUCGCAAGUCUUAGUCAUUUAUUUGUCAGAGGCUAGAGUCAAAUGUAUCUGGAAAAAAAUCAAUAUGCACCCUGGGUUAUUUAAAACUCUGAUGUCACUGCAGGUUUCAGGGUGGGUCUUCUCCACUUGAUUGCUUUAAUGGUGAAAGUUUGCCACCUGCUGGUAAUCACCGUCAUGUCCUCCGGUGCCCCUUGGAUCAAAACCUCUCCCAUGGCUCCUUUAAAACAAAAAAAAAAAAAAACACACUCGCCCUCCUGACAUUUAGUGCUGCCAGAUGUCCACAUGAAGUGUUUCAUUCUGUUAAGGUCAAAAGGAAGUUUCUUGACGUCGGGCUAAAGGGGAUCAAAUUAAAAGGCUCCAAAAUGUC
This is a long non-coding RNA of Acanthopagrus latus (yellowfin seabream), 1428 nucleotides long. RefSeq lists it as uncharacterized. The record is from RefSeq and is a predicted model, not a curated record. NCBI's taxonomy places the organism in Eukaryota, Metazoa, Chordata, Actinopteri, Spariformes, Sparidae. The transcript has 3 exons.